GAGGUGGGAGGAUUGCUUGAGCCUGGGAGGUCGAGGCUGCAGUGAGCCAUGAUCAUGCCACUGCACUCCAGCCUGAGUGACAGAGUGAGACCUUGUCUC
This 99-nucleotide microRNA precursor is filed under the name Cercocebus atys (sooty mangabey). RNAcentral's name for it is "miRNA (ENSCATG00000016295.1)". The record is from RNAcentral. Lineage: Eukaryota; Metazoa; Chordata; Mammalia; Primates; Cercopithecidae.